AAAUAUAUAUUUGUAUUGACAUGCAUAAUGCAUCAAGUGUCUCGUUAGGCUUUUUAUCUCUGAGAGUUUCUCCUUCCCCCAUCUAAUAUGGAAAUACGUGAGAAGACUACCCUCUGUGGAUGUUGGCUCACCCUCUGACGAUAGUGAUGACGUGAAUAUCAGUUAGGGGUCACUUUUGGCUAAGUACUGUCGUGGCUAUAGAAUAUCUGAUAGGACCACUGUUGUUGGCACAACCGUGAUCAUAGAUCGUGCCAUGGUUUGGCAAGCUUGAAAUGCACGGUGAGUAAAUUGUCGUUAUAUAUUUGAUCUGGUCAUUCC
Molecule: long non-coding RNA, 318 nt
Filed under: Carica papaya (papaya)
Lineage: Eukaryota; Viridiplantae; Streptophyta; Magnoliopsida; Brassicales; Caricaceae
Description: long non-coding RNA (CPAP_LNC013408)
Source: RNAcentral